Molecule: unclassified non-coding RNA, 229 nt
Filed under: plant metagenome
Description: partial contains small subunit ribosomal RNA, internal transcribed spacer 1, and 5.8S ribosomal RNA
Rfam family: 5.8S ribosomal RNA (bases 181-229)
Source: RNAcentral
UCUCCGUUGGUGAACCAGCGGAGGGAUCAUUACUGGAAUCGCAAGAUCCCACAACCCUGUGAACCUACCGAAACGUUGCCUCGGCGGGUGCCCGGCCCCCGCGCCGGGCGCUGCGCCCGCCGGCGGCCCCCUACUCUGUCUCUGCAGCGUGGCAUCUCAGAGUCCCAGAAAACAAGUCAAAACUUUCAACAACGGAUCUCUUGGCUCUAACAUCGAUGAAGAACGCAGC